This 73-nucleotide transfer RNA is filed under the name Ophiophagus hannah (king cobra). It matches the Rfam family "tRNA". Rfam says of the family: Transfer RNA (tRNA) molecules are approximately 80 nucleotides in length. Their secondary structure includes four short double-helical elements and three loops (D, anti-codon, and T loops). Lineage: Eukaryota; Metazoa; Chordata; Lepidosauria; Squamata; Elapidae. The record is from Rfam by way of RNAcentral.
GCCAAACUGGUCUAGUGGUUAAGACACCAGACUAGAAGGUGGGAGACCGUGAGUUCUAGUCCCAUCUUAGGCC